AUUGAACGCUGGCGGCAGGCCUAACACAUGCAAUUCGCGCGAGCGGCGGACGGGUGAGUAAUGCCUGGGAAUUGCCCAGUCGAGGGGGAUAACAGUUGGAAACGACUGCUAAUACCGCAUACGAUUGGAUUGCCCAGGUGGGAUUAGCUAGUUGGUGAGAUAAUGGCUCACAAAGGCGACGAUCCCUAGCUGGUCUGAGAGGAUGAUCGGCCACACUGGAACUGAGACACGGUACAGACUCAUACGGGAGGGAGAAGUGGGGAAUAUUGCACAAGGGGGGAAACCCUGAUGCAGCCAUGCCGCGUGUGUGAAGAAGGCCUGCGGGUUGUAAAGCAAUGUCAGCGAGGAGGCGUUACUCGCAGAAGAAGCACCGGCUAACUCCGUGCCAGCCGCCGCGGUAAGUC
RNAcentral lists this ribosomal RNA (404 nucleotides) under uncultured bacterium. RNAcentral's name for it is "partial 16S ribosomal RNA". It matches the Rfam family "Bacterial small subunit ribosomal RNA", at positions 30 to 526 of the family's 1533-position model. The record is from RNAcentral.